UUUAUUAAUUAACUGCACUGUUAUUGGACUUAAUAUGAUGAAAACUGCCUAUGCAAUAUAAUGUGUAGAUUGGGCCAAUACAGAAUAACUAGGCCAAUACAGAUUUUUCUGUAUUGGCCGAGUUAUUCUAUAUUGGCCGAGUUGACACAAGUGCAGGAUUUCGGAACGUCUCUAGGUUUUACAUCGAAAGUCACGAUAAACACAAAUUGAAAGUAAACAGUUGUUUUGAAGACGCAGUUGUCAUUUAGUUAUCUUAAACAUGCUGAAAAUGUCAGUAUGGCAUACAUUUCAGGCGAAAGACGGUCACAUUCAUUUAAAAGGUAUUUUGAAAGCAGACGUGACGUGACGAUAAAACUAUUUCAGGUUUGGGGAACGAGUAGAUUAUCACAAAGUUCAUUUCUUGACGACCUCAUAAUUUCACGAUUUUACACAUCGAUUUUAAAUUAGUUUCUGCAUUACACAUGCAAUGGCAGUACCUUUCCAAUUACUAUUUAUGUGUUGCGUCUAAAUUUAAGUUGUAACACUUUAUAGUGACUGAAAAGGGUAGAAAAAUUCAUCAG
Molecule: long non-coding RNA, 560 nt
Filed under: Mytilus galloprovincialis (Mediterranean mussel)
Lineage: Eukaryota; Metazoa; Mollusca; Bivalvia; Mytilida; Mytilidae
Source: RNAcentral